UCCAGACUCCUACGGGAGGCAGCAGUGGGGAAUAUUGCACAAUGGGGGGAACCCUGAUGCAGCGACGCCGCGUGAGUGAAGAAGUAUUUCGGUAUGUAAAGCUCUAUCAGCAGGGAAGAAGAUGACGGUACCUGACUAAGAAGCCCCGGCUAACUACGUGCCAGCAGCCGCGGUAAUACGUAGGGGGCAAGCGUUAUCCGGAUUUACUGGGUGUAAAGGGAGCGUAGACGGCAGGGCAAGUCUGGAGUGAAAGCCCGGGGCCCAACCCCGGGACUGCUUUGGAAACUGCCAUGCUGGAGUGCUGGAGAGGUAAGCGGAAUUCCUAGUGUAGCGGUGAAAUGCGUAGAUAUUAGGAGGAACACCAGUGGCGAAGGCGGCUUACUGGACAGUAACUGACGUUGAGGCUCGAAAGCGUGGGGAGCAAACAGGAUUAGAUACCCUUGUACG
This 447-nucleotide ribosomal RNA is filed under the name uncultured bacterium. RNAcentral's name for it is "bacterial SSU rRNA". It matches the Rfam family "Bacterial small subunit ribosomal RNA", at positions 330 to 793 of the family's 1533-position model. The record is from RNAcentral.